UAUACGGAAAGUGACACACAUGAUGUUCACAUUUGGGUUAUGAAGUAAACGUACACCUAUUUUAUCACUGGACUAUUUCGACUAACUUAUACUUUUUUCAUUGUAUCAAUACAUAUAAGAUUCAAAUACUAAACAAUUCUAAAAUUACAGAAACAAGCUGAUCCAGAAGGAUCAGAACCGACUCGAAAUCUAACCAAAUUACUACCAAUUCCUACAUGGGUAUGAAAUAUACUUAUCUGAUAAAUUUGAAACCGGCUGGUUCUUAUCCGAAACCAAACUAAAUACCCAAAUGUUGA
RNAcentral lists this long non-coding RNA (296 nucleotides) under Brassica napus (rape). RNAcentral describes it as "long non-coding RNA (BNAP_LNC010071)". Lineage: Eukaryota; Viridiplantae; Streptophyta; Magnoliopsida; Brassicales; Brassicaceae. The record is from RNAcentral.